UGGGGAAUUUUGCACAAUGGGCGGAAGCCUGAUGCAGCGACGCCGUGUGGGGGAUGAAGGCCUUCGGGUUGUAAACUCCUUUCGUCAGGGACGAAGUUUGUUUGACGGUACCUGGAUAAGAAGCACCGGCUAACUACGUGCCAGCAGCCGCGGUAAUACGUAGGGUGCGAGCGUUGUCCGGAUUUACUGGGCGUAAAGGGCUCGUAGGUGGUGUGUUGCGUCGUCUGUGUAAUCCAGGGGCUUAACUUUUGGUUGGCAGGCGAUACGGGCAUUGCUUGAGUGCUGUAGGGGAGACUGGAAUUCCUGGUGUAGCGGUGAAAUGCACAGAUAUCAGGAGGAACACCGAUGGCGAAGGCAGGUCUCUGGGCAGUUACUGACGCUGAGGAGCGAGAGAAUGGGUAGCGAACAGG
This 410-nucleotide ribosomal RNA is filed under the name bacterium. Its description in RNAcentral is "partial 16S ribosomal RNA". It matches the Rfam family "Bacterial small subunit ribosomal RNA", at positions 355 to 776 of the family's 1533-position model. The record is from RNAcentral.